UACGUAGGGUGCGAGCGUUGUCCGGAAUUAUUGGGCGUAAAGAGCUCGUAGGCGGUCAGUCGCGUCUGCUGUGAAAACUCGGGGCUUAACUCCGGGCCUGCAGUGGGUACGGGCUGACUAGAGUGCGGUAGGGGAGACUGGAAUUCCUGGUGUAGCGGUGAAAUGCGCAGAUAUCAGGAGGAACACCGGUGGCGAAGGCGGGUCUCUGGACAUUUCCUGACGCUGAGGCACGAAAGCCAGGGGAGCAAACGGG
This 253-nucleotide ribosomal RNA is filed under the name uncultured bacterium. RNAcentral's name for it is "partial 16S ribosomal RNA". It matches the Rfam family "Bacterial small subunit ribosomal RNA", at positions 524 to 776 of the family's 1533-position model. The record is from RNAcentral.